GACGAACGCUGGCGGCGUGCCUAAUACAUGCAAGUAGAACGCUGAAGGAGGAGCUUGCUUCUCUGGAUGAGUUGCGAACGGGUGAGUAACGCGUAGGUAACCUACCUGGUAGCGGGGGAUAACUAUUGGAAACGAUAGCUAAUACCGCAUAAGAGUAGAUGUCGCAUGACAUUUGCUUAAAAGGUGCAAUUGCCUCACUACCAGAUGGACCUGCGUUGUAUUAGCUAGUUGGUGAGGUAACGGCUCACCAAGGCAACGAUACAUAGCCGACCUGAGAGGGUGAUCGGCCACACUGGGACUGAGACACGGCCCAGACUCCUACGGGAGGCAGCAGUAGGGAAUCUUCGGCAAUGGACGGAAGUCUGACCGAGCAACGCCGCGUGAGUGAAGAAGGUUUUCGGAUCGUAAAGCUCUGUUGUAAGAGAAGAACGAGUGUGAGAGUGGAAAGUUCACACUGUGACGGUAUCUUACCAGAAAGGGACGGCUAACUACGUG
This 495-nucleotide ribosomal RNA is filed under the name uncultured bacterium. RNAcentral describes it as "partial 16S ribosomal RNA". It matches the Rfam family "Bacterial small subunit ribosomal RNA", at positions 28 to 507 of the family's 1533-position model. The record is from RNAcentral.